RNAcentral lists this unclassified non-coding RNA (201 nucleotides) under Hevea brasiliensis (rubber tree). Lineage: Eukaryota; Viridiplantae; Streptophyta; Magnoliopsida; Malpighiales; Euphorbiaceae. The record is from RNAcentral.
UGCUAACUGUGGCUUCAGGAAAGGGUGCCUUGUGCUGCAACUCAUUUUGAUUGGUGGAACCAUUAAAUAAACUUGGUGCUUGACGCCAUGGAACAGGACCAGAACCAGCUAUAGGAUUCCAAUUGUUGACGUCUUUAAUUCUUUCAGGCUGCAGAGGAAGGAAAAGUGAAGGUGGUGGCCAGGCAGGAUUUGGUGUCAAAA